ACUCAGCAUACAAGUACUUUAAAUAGUUCCAAUAUUUUGGCUUCUCUGUAGUUACCUGUUACCUGCUUGUUUCAGAAAGAAAAAAGCUCCUGCCUCAGCUCCUAUCAUAGUUCUACUGCAGCCAUGGAAGAGCAACUAUACUCUCACCAUGCAUCACUGACAGAGUUGUCAGCUGAGUCCCCAGCUACAGAUUCUUUGUUGGUGGUGAAAAUGUGAGAAGCAGAAGGUAACACAGCUUGACCUGAAGAACCCAGGCUACUGGGUUCCCAGGCUAUAUGAAUUCUUAUUCAGAAAAAUAAUCCCUUUAUUCAUAAUCUGAGCAAAACUGAUAAUGAGACAAUAAAAAACCAAUGGGAAGCAGCUGCAGUCGAUCAUAAGGGGUUUCAUCUGACUCCACAGGAUGUGCAAUACGAAGCAAAGAGAUAAAAGGAGGGUUUACUAGGAUCAAAUCCAAUGGGAUUGCACAGCAGAGGGAUGAUUUCUGCACCAUAAACAGUCAUCACCGCUCACUGGAGCUGGAACACCGAGGAGAAGCAAGAGCCUCUGGCACCGGUGCUUUUCCUGUUUGAUUCCUACAGGGGAAGCACAUGAACAUUUCCAUGGUUGUGUGUGGACACACACAUGCAUGCACACCAUACUUACAAUCUUACUUCAUCUGCUUAAUUCUUCAUUAGAGAGCAUAUGAAAACUGUUGUGUAAGGAAGAGGGAAAAAAACAAUUAAUAUGUGGAAAAGGUAAAGGAGACAGAGUUUUUUUAAACUUGUUUCAAAAUACAAGGAGAAAAAGACUGAAUUAAAAAGAGUAAAUCCAAAGCAUAUAAAAAGCCUCAUUGAGGCAGGCAAAGUAUAACUCAUUUCUGGAAUUCACUGCUACAUUAAGUCCACACCUGACUUUUAAAGAUUAGUUAUUUUGAAUUUGAGAGCUUCUCUGAAAUGAAUCACAUUAGCUUUUAUGCAAGUUCACACUGGGAAAAGAAAA
RNAcentral lists this long non-coding RNA (978 nucleotides) under Cyanistes caeruleus (blue tit). RNAcentral's name for it is "lncRNA (ENSCCEG00000003159.1)". Lineage: Eukaryota; Metazoa; Chordata; Aves; Passeriformes; Paridae. The record is from RNAcentral.